UGGGGAAUUUUGGACAAUGGGCGAAANCCUGAUCCAGCAAUGCCGCGUGUGUGAAGAAGGCCUUCGGGUUGUAAAGCACUUUUGUCCGGAAAGAAAUCCUUGGCUCUAAUACAGUCGGGGGAUGACGGUACCGGAAGAAUAAGCACCGGCUAACUACGUGCCAGCAGCCGCGGUAAUACGUAGGGUGCAAGCGUUAAUCGGAAUUACUGGGCGUAAAGCGUGCGCAGGGCGGUUUGCUAAGACCGAUGUGAAAUCCCCGGGCUCAACCUGGGAACUGCAUUGGUGACUGGCAGGCUAGAGUAUGGCAGAGGGGGGUAGAAUUCCACGUGUAGCAGUGAAAAUGCGUAGAGAUGUGGAGGAAUACCGAUGGCGAAGGCAGCCCCCUGGGCCAAUACUGACGCUCAUGCACGAAAGCGUGGGGAGCAAACAGGAUUAGAUACCCUGGUAGUCCACGCCCUAAACGAUGUCAACUAGUUGUUGGGGAUUCAUUUCCUUAGUAACGUAGCUAACGCGUGAAGUUGACCGCC
RNAcentral lists this ribosomal RNA (527 nucleotides) under uncultured bacterium. RNAcentral's name for it is "partial 16S ribosomal RNA". It matches the Rfam family "Bacterial small subunit ribosomal RNA", at positions 355 to 873 of the family's 1533-position model. The record is from RNAcentral.